GACUCAGUCUGUUGACCUCACUAUCAAUUCGAGCACUUGAAACAGACAUCUGGUGCCCAUCGCCAGACUUUUUAAGUUCCCGGAGGCCAUAGUGAAUCUUCGCCGGACCGACGGUGCAUAAGUAAGCAAUGAAAACUAAAACAAAACUAAAAUAACACCGAAGAGGAUAGCUGUUAGCAGGGUUCUGGUUAAGACAAAGUUUAUGACACAAAAGAUCAAAUAUCAGCUGCAAUCAACACGGUGGACCGCGACAUCCUGAGGCGAGUUUGGGAAAAGUUGUUCUGGCUGACAGCGGCGACCACAUUGAGCACUUGGAAAAAAUGAAAGAAAAACUUGAAGAGCUGCAACAGAAGGCAAAAAGUCGAUCGUGUCCAACAUUCCAUUGCCCAAAGGUGACACAUGGACCUGUGGAGAAAGACUGCAGGAAAGGCAAGACACCGCGUGAUCCUCCCUCUGAUGGGAUGAGCUCUUCUUUUGGCCAUGUUUCACAUGUGCACAAUUACCCGUAGUUGUACUUCAACACAGACUGGGAGUACUUUUUUGUACCUGCUCCCUCAUCAACUGUACAUCUGUAAUGCACCUGGGACGAGUUGUGCUUCUUCUAUAAUACUGUAGCAUUUGCAUUUGCAUUUGCGGAAGUAAACAAAGAUGGCACUCAUGAAACAAAGAUGGCGGACGGUGAGACAUGGACAAAUGUCGGAAAUGAACGGGAGAAGAUUACGCAGCGAAGAAGGAAUGACCAAUCUGUGAUGGAAUACGUACUCUAUUGCUACAAGGUGGACAGAGGGACAAGGGAAGAGGAGGAGGAGGACGAAGAGGAGGUGGGAGGAAGGUGGUGGUAGGCUCCAGAAAUAAUUUCCGACAGACGGUGGGCAGGAAGCCAUGGCAGUAAGUGAACCUGAGCAGAAAAGAGCCUCCAGGAAGUGGAAAUCCUUAUAGAGCCCAAGCUGGUAGCUCCACACCGUCACGGCUGUUACCGCCACUGUGCAGCUCAACUGUAAUGCUAAGCCAACACGGGUAGCUAACAGGAUACAUUUUACCACCUCAUCAGUGAAGCAUGGUGGUGGCAGGGCCAAGACGUUGACAUGUAUGGCUUUUUCGUGAGAGCUUGACUAAAGUUAGCUCGUAAAUUUGUAAAUUGAGACCAGAUCAGCAUUAUUUCCGUACACAUUAUUUUU
Hippocampus zosterae (dwarf seahorse) is the source of this 1178-nucleotide long non-coding RNA. RefSeq lists it as uncharacterized. The transcript is spliced from 3 exons. NCBI's taxonomy places the organism in Eukaryota, Metazoa, Chordata, Actinopteri, Syngnathiformes, Syngnathidae. The record is from RefSeq and is a predicted model, not a curated record.